UGGGGAAUAUUGGACAAUGGGCGAAAGCCUGAUCCAGCAAUACCGCGUGUGUGAAGAAGGCCUUAGGGUUGUAAAGCACUUUCAAUUGGAAGGAAAACCUCGAUGUUAAUACCGUCGAGUUUGACAUUACCUUUAGAAGAAGCACCGGCUAACUCCGUGCCAGCAGCCGCGGUAAUACGGAGGGUGCAAGCGUUAAUCGGAAUUACUGGGCGUAAAGCGUGCGUAGGCGGCUUGUUAAGUCAGAUGUGAAAGCCCUGGGCUCAACCUGGGAACGGCAUUUGAAACUGGCAAGCUAGAGUUUAAGAGAGGUAAGUGGAAUUUCAGGUGUAGCGGUGAAAUGCGUAGAGAUCUGAAGGAACAUCAGUGGCGAAGGCGACUUACUGGCUUAAAACUGACGCUG
Molecule: ribosomal RNA, 400 nt
Filed under: uncultured bacterium
Lineage: Bacteria
Description: bacterial SSU rRNA
Rfam family: Bacterial small subunit ribosomal RNA
Source: RNAcentral